AGCGAACGCUGCGGCAGGCUUAACACAUGCAAGUCGAACGCCCCGCAAGGGGAGUGGCAGACGGGUGAGUAACACGUGGGAACGUACCCUUUGGUUCGGAAUAACUUGGGGAAACUCAAGCUAAUACCGGAUAAGCCCUUAUGGGGAAAGGUUUACUGCCGAAGGAUCGGCCCGCGUCUGAUUAGCUAGUUGGUGAGGUAACGGCUCACCAAGGCGACGAUCAGUAGCUGGUCUGAGAGGAUGAUCAGCCACACUGGGACUGAGACACGGCCCAGACUCCACCGUGGGGCAGCGGGGGGGAAUAUUGGACAAGGGGGGCAACCCUGCUCGAGCCAUGCCGCGGGAGUGAUGAAGCCCUUAGGGUUGUAAAGCUCUUUUCCCCGGGACGAUAAUGACUGUCCCGGGAGAAAAAGCCCCGGCUAACUUGGUGCCAGCCGCCGCCGUAA
RNAcentral lists this ribosomal RNA (446 nucleotides) under uncultured bacterium. RNAcentral's name for it is "partial 16S ribosomal RNA". It matches the Rfam family "Bacterial small subunit ribosomal RNA", at positions 29 to 523 of the family's 1533-position model. The record is from RNAcentral.